Molecule: small nuclear RNA, 165 nt
Organism: Peromyscus maniculatus bairdii (prairie deer mouse)
Lineage: Eukaryota; Metazoa; Chordata; Mammalia; Rodentia; Cricetidae
Gene: U1
Rfam family: U1 spliceosomal RNA
About the family: U1 is a small nuclear RNA (snRNA) component of the spliceosome (involved in pre-mRNA splicing). Its 5' end forms complementary base pairs with the 5' splice junction, thus defining the 5' donor site of an intron.
Source: Ensembl
AUACUCACCUGGCAGAGAAGACACCAUGAUCACACAGGUGGUUUUUCCAGGGCAAGGUUCACCCAUUGCACUCAGGGUGUGCUGACCCUUGCAAUUUCCCCAAAUGCAGGAAAUUUGACUUCAUAAUUUAUCGUAGAAGGGGACCACAUUCACCCUCUCCCCCGA